AACGCGAAGAACCUUACCUGGGUUUGACAUCUACCUGCACGGCCCGUGAAAGCGGGCCUCCUUCGAGGGUGGUAGACAGGUGCUGCAUGGCUGUCGUCAGCUCAUGCCGUGAGGUGUCAGGUUAAGUCCUAUAACGAGCGCAACCCCUACGCCCAGUUGCCAGCGGGUGAUGCCGGGAACCCUGUCCACACUGCCCGUUCAUGCGGGAGGAAGGUGGGGAUGACGUCAAGUCAGUAUGGCCCUUACGCCCAGGGCUGCACACGUGCUACAAUGGCCGGUACAGAGGGAUGCCAAGCCGCGAGGCGGAGCGAACCCCUAGAGAGCCGGCCCCAGUUCAGAUCGGGGUCUGCAACCCGACCCCGUGAAGUCGGAUUUGCUAGUAACGGCGCAUCAGCUACGGCGCCGUGAAUGCGUUCCCGGGUCUUGUACACACCGA
This 436-nucleotide ribosomal RNA is filed under the name uncultured rumen bacterium. Its description in RNAcentral is "bacterial SSU rRNA". It matches the Rfam family "Bacterial small subunit ribosomal RNA", at positions 958 to 1393 of the family's 1533-position model. The record is from RNAcentral.